Molecule: ribosomal RNA, 441 nt
Filed under: uncultured bacterium
Lineage: Bacteria
Description: bacterial SSU rRNA
Rfam family: Bacterial small subunit ribosomal RNA
Source: RNAcentral
GGCGAACGCUGGCGGCGUGCCUAACACAUGCAAGUCGAACGGAGUUGAAAGGAGCUUGCUUUUUUCAACUCAGUGGCGGACGGGUGAGUAACGCGUGAGUAACCUGCCUUUCAGAGGGGGAUAACGUUCUGAAAAGAACGCUAAUACCGCAUAAGAUUGUAGUUUCGCAUGGGACAGCAAUCAAAGGAGCAAUCCGCUGAAAGAUGGACUCGCGUCCGAUUAGAUAGUUGGCGGGGCAACGGCCCACCAAGUCGACGAUCGGUAGCCGGACUGAGAGGUUGAUCGGCCACAUUGGGACUGAGACACGGCCCAGACUCCUACGGGAGGCAGCAGUGAGGGAUAUUGGGCAAUGGGGGAAACCCUGACCCAGCAACGCCGCGUGAGGGAUGACGGUUUUCGGAUUGUAAACCUCUGUCCUCUGUGAAGAUAGUGACGGUAGCA